Molecule: ribosomal RNA, 19 nt
Filed under: Inocybe chondroderma
Lineage: Eukaryota; Fungi; Basidiomycota; Agaricomycetes; Agaricales; Inocybaceae
Description: partial 25S ribosomal RNA
Source: RNAcentral
UUGGAGACCUCAAAUCAGG